This 1398-nucleotide ribosomal RNA is filed under the name uncultured bacterium. RNAcentral describes it as "bacterial SSU rRNA". It matches the Rfam family "Bacterial small subunit ribosomal RNA". The record is from RNAcentral.
UUAGAGUUUGAUCCUGGCUCAGGAUGAACGCUAGCGGCAGGCUUAACACAUGCAAGUCGAGGGGCAGCAUGUCCAGCAAUGGAUGAUGGCGACCGGCGGAAGGGUGCGUAACGCGUGAGCAACAUGCCCUAUACAGGGAGAUACACCAGGGAAACUUGGUCUAAUAUCCCAUAGCAUUCAUUGAAGGCAUCUUUAAUGAAUUAAAGCUUCGGUGGUAUAGGAUUGGCUCGCGUGACAUUAGCCAGAUGGUGAGGUAACGGCUCACCAUAGCAAUGAUGUCUAGGGGUUUUGAGAGGAAGGCCCCCCACACUGGGACUGAGACACGGCCCAGACUCCUACGGGAGGCAGCAGUUGAGAAUCUUGCACAAUGGGGGGAACCCUGAUGCAGCGACGCCGCGUGGAUGAUGAAGGCCUUCGGGUUGUAAAGUCCGAUAAGCAGGGAAGAAUAAGUGAGGGGUAAUAUUCCUCAUGAUGACGGUACCUGCCUAAAGCCCCGGCUAACUACGUGCCAGCAGCCGCGGUAAUACGUAUGGGGCGAGCGUUGUUCGGAAUUAUUGGGUGUAAAGGGCGUCUAGGCGGGAGAUUAAGUUAGAUGUGAAAGGCGUGGGCUUAACCCGCGAAUUGCAUCUAAAACUGGUUUUCUUGAGUUCGGGAGAGGAGAGCGGAAUUCUUGGUGUAGCGGUGAAAUGCGUAGAUAUCAAGAAGAACACCAGUGGCGAAGGCGGCUCUCUGGCCUAGAACUGACGCUGAAGCGCGAAAGCGUGGGUAGCGAACGGGAUUAGAUACCCCGGUAGUCCACGCCGUAAACGUUGUAUACUAGGUGUUAGUGGCUUGACUACUAGUGCCGCAGCAAACGCAUUAAGUAUACCACCUGGGGAGUACGCCCGCAAGGGUGAAACUCAAAGAAAUAGACGGGGGCCCGCACAAGCGGUGGAGCAUGUGGUUUAAUUCGAUGAUACGCGAAGAACCUUACCUGGGCUUGAACUGUGCUUGACAGGUGUAGAGAUACGCUCUCCCUUCGGGGCAAGUACAGAGGUGCUGCAUGGUUGUCGUCAGCUCGUGUCGUGAGAUGUUGGGUUAAGUCCCGCAACGAGCGCAACCCCUCCUCUCUGUUGCUAUCAGGUAAUGCUGGGCACUCUGAGGGAACUGCCGGUGACAAACCGGAGGAAGGUGGGGGGGACGUCAAAUCAUCACGGCCCCUAUGUCCAGGGCUACACACGUGCUACAAUGGCCGGUACAAAGAGUUGCUAAACCGCGAGGUCAAGCUAAUCUCAAAAAACCGGUCUCAGUUCGGAUUGGAGUCUGCAACUCGACUCCACGAAGUUGGAAUCGCUAGUAAUCGUGGAUCAGAACGCUACGGUGAAUAAAUUCCCGGGCCUUGUACUCACCGCCCGUCAA